GGGAAAGUGGCUCAGUGGUAGAGUGCUUGCCUUGUAUGCAUGAGGCCCUGGGUUCAAUUCCCCAGUACCA
Molecule: transfer RNA, 70 nt
Filed under: Dipodomys ordii (Ord's kangaroo rat)
Lineage: Eukaryota; Metazoa; Chordata; Mammalia; Rodentia; Heteromyidae
Rfam family: tRNA
About the family: Transfer RNA (tRNA) molecules are approximately 80 nucleotides in length. Their secondary structure includes four short double-helical elements and three loops (D, anti-codon, and T loops).
Source: Rfam by way of RNAcentral